UUUUUUUUUUUUUCCUUUUUCUGGAGAACGGGGUCUCGCUAUAUUGCCCAGGCAGGUCUCGAACUCCUGGGCUCAAGCUAUCCUCCCGCCUCUUAGCCUCCCUGAGAGCUGGGAUUACAGGCAUGUGCCACCACGCCCGGCUAAUUUUGUAUUUUCAGUAGAGGUGGGGUUUUACCAUGUUAGUCAGGCUGGUCUCGAACUCCUGACAUCAGGUGAUCCACCUGCCUCAGCCUCCUAAAGUGCUGGGAUUACCA
RNAcentral lists this long non-coding RNA (254 nucleotides) under Homo sapiens (human). Its description in RNAcentral is "HSALNT0367016". The record is from RNAcentral. Lineage: Eukaryota; Metazoa; Chordata; Mammalia; Primates; Hominidae.